AGCAGCCGCGGUAAUUCCAGCUCCAAUAGCGUAUAUUAAAGUUGUUGCAGUUAAAAAGCUCGUAGUUGAAUUUCGAGACCGGUUUACUGGUCGUGCUUUUGUACGUACUGGUAUUAUUGGUUUCUCCUUUCUGACGAACUAUAAUGCCAUUAAUUUGGUGUUUUAGGGAAUCAGGACUGUUACUUUGAAAAAUUAGAGUGUUUAAAGCAGGCUCACGCUUGAAUACAUUAGCAUGGAAUAACGGAAUAGGACGUUUGAUUCUAUUUUGUUGGUUUCUAGGAUCGACGUAAUGAUUAAUAGGGAUAGUUGGGGGCAUUAGUAUUCAAUUGUCAGAGGUGAAAUUCUUGGAUUUAUUGAAGACUAACUACUGCGAAAGCAUUUGCCAAGGAUGUUUUCAUUAAUCAAGAACGAAAGUUAGGGGAUCGAAGACGAUCAGAUACCGUCGUAGUCUUAACCAUAAACUAUGCCGACU
Molecule: ribosomal RNA, 472 nt
Filed under: uncultured Glomus
Lineage: Eukaryota; Fungi; Glomeromycota; Glomeromycetes; Glomerales; Glomeraceae
Description: SSU rRNA
Rfam family: Eukaryotic small subunit ribosomal RNA
Source: RNAcentral